Molecule: non-coding RNA, 47 nt
Organism: Sus scrofa (pig)
Lineage: Eukaryota; Metazoa; Chordata; Mammalia; Artiodactyla; Suidae
Source: Rfam
UUGAAGGAUUUUUUAAAAUCCACCUUCUAGAAUAAUUAAAAUAAAAU